RNAcentral lists this ribosomal RNA (1492 nucleotides) under Lacticaseibacillus paracasei. Its description in RNAcentral is "bacterial SSU rRNA". It matches the Rfam family "Bacterial small subunit ribosomal RNA". The record is from RNAcentral. Lineage: Bacteria; Bacillati; Bacillota; Bacilli; Lactobacillales; Lactobacillaceae.
GAUGAACGCUGGCGGCGUGCCUAAUACAUGCAAGUCGAACGAGUUCUCGUUGAUGAUCGGUGCUUGCACCGAGAUUCAACAUGGAACGAGUGGCGGACGGGUGAGUAACACGUGGGUAACCUGCCCUUAAGUGGGGGAUAACAUUUGGAAACAGAUGCUAAUACCGCAUAGAUCCAAGAACCGCAUGGUUCUUGGCUGAAAGAUGGCGUAAGCUAUCGCUUUUGGAUGGACCCGCGGCGUAUUAGCUAGUUGGUGAGGUAAUGGCUCACCAAGGCGAUGAUACGUAGCCGAACUGAGAGGUUGAUCGGCCACAUUGGGACUGAGACACGGCCCAAACUCCUACGGGAGGCAGCAGUAGGGAAUCUUCCACAAUGGACGCAAGUCUGAUGGAGCAACGCCGCGUGAGUGAAGAAGGCUUUCGGGUCGUAAAACUCUGUUGUUGGAGAAGAAUGGUCGGCAGAGUAACUGUUGUCGGCGUGACGGUAUCCAACCAGAAAGCCACGGCUAACUACGUGCCAGCAGCCGCGGUAAUACGUAGGUGGCAAGCGUUAUCCGGAUUUAUUGGGCGUAAAGCGAGCGCAGGCGGUUUUUUAAGUCUGAUGUGAAAGCCCUCGGCUUAACCGAGGAAGCGCAUCGGAAACUGGGAAACUUGAGUGCAGAAGAGGACAGUGGAACUCCAUGUGUAGCGGUGAAAUGCGUAGAUAUAUGGAAGAACACCAGUGGCGAAGGCGGCUGUCUGGUCUGUAACUGACGCUGAGGCUCGAAAGCAUGGGUAGCGAACAGGAUUAGAUACCCUGGUAGUCCAUGCCGUAAACGAUGAAUGCUAGGUGUUGGAGGGUUUCCGCCCUUCAGUGCCGCAGCUAACGCAUUAAGCAUUCCGCCUGGGGAGUACGACCGCAAGGUUGAAACUCAAAGGAAUUGACGGGGGCCCGCACAAGCGGUGGAGCAUGUGGUUUAAUUCGAAGCAACGCGAAGAACCUUACCAGGUCUUGACAUCUUUUGAUCACUUGAGAGAUCAGGUUUCCCCUUCGGGGGCAAAAUGACAGGUGGUGCAUGGUUGUCGUCAGCUCGUGUCGUGAGAUGUUGGGUUAAGUCCCGCAACGAGCGCAACCCUUAUGACUAGUUGCCAGCAUUUAGUUGGGCACUCUAGUAAGACUGCCGGUGACAAACCGGAGGAAGGUGGGGAUGACGUCAAAUCAUCAUGCCCCUUAUGACCUGGGCUACACACGCGCUACAAUGGAUGGUACAACGAGUUGCGAGACCGCGAGGUCAAGCUAAUCUCUUAAAGCCAUUCUCAGUUCGGACUGUAGGCUGCAACUCGCCUACACGAAGUCGGAAUCGCUAGUAAUCGCGGAUCAGCACGCCGCGGUGAAUACGUUCCCGGGCCUUGUACACACCGCCCGUCACACCAUGAGAGUUUGUAACACCCGAAGCCGGUGGCGUAACCCUUUUAGGGAGCGAGCCGUCUAAGGUGGGACAAAUGAUUAGGGUG